This is a long non-coding RNA of Armigeres subalbatus, 1105 nucleotides long. RefSeq lists it as uncharacterized. NCBI's taxonomy places the organism in Eukaryota, Metazoa, Arthropoda, Insecta, Diptera, Culicidae. The transcript has 2 exons. The record is from RefSeq and is a predicted model, not a curated record.
GAUCCCGCGUUGAAAGUUAUUUGGUGAGAUUUGCAAAAUGAAAUAAAAAAAAACGUUUCGCUAUUCUGAGAAAUACCAACUUUGAGAAUAAUGUCUCGAAGUUGGAUCCCAGUUCGAAACCCUUUUGGAAAUUAACGAAAAUCCCUAAAAAAAACCUCAAAAGCCAAUUCCAGCGCUUAAAGAGGGAAAUACGAUUUUAUUAACAAAUGGCGAAAAGGCUCAAAAACUUGCAAAACAAAAAAGCAGUUCGAGAGUGCCCAUAAUUUUAGUCUAGGUCUCACUAGUCCAAUUGAGGAUCAAGUUACACGGAGCUUCGAAGACAUUCUCAAUCAAGAGAAUGUUUUUGACCCAACACUUUUUGACGUUGGGAACUAAUCUGGAUGAAGUGAGAUCUAUUACCGUAUUACCGUAUCGAACGACUAUUAUCUAUUAUUAUCUCGAUUGAAAUGACACCAUGUAUAAUAAAGAAGGACGUAAAUAUUACGUCAAAAUAAUCGCAACCUGUGCAUCUCACCCAUUUUACACUGCUCAUAGAACAAACUUUAAUGUUCUGAUUGUUCCAGAAGUACGUAUUGAAGUCAACAUUUUACCGUUGUUAAUUCAAGUCAAAAUAAUUCAGUUAUGCAUUUUAAAAACUCAUUAGCAAAUCUGCUAGAACUAGUAAACUUUACUCUCAAUAUUACCACUGUUUAAAGCUACCACAUCUGAUGUAGGUCAUAUUCUAUAUAAACGAUGAACACUAUUACAAACAGCGACCUACUGUUCAGAAUGCAGUGUUUAAAUUUCGUGAUUCUCCUGUUAAUAGUGCAAUUGAGCUUCUCAUCAAUAUGCGAAGCAGCCCCCAAAGCCAAACCUGGCGACAACUAUAAAAGAAUUUGCCAAGUAACAAAAUGGUCAUCCGGAUUUUUUUGUCCUCUGGGAAAGUGAGGCAUGUUGUUUGAAAUAAAAGUUAAAAGACAUCAGGUGUGUGAAUAACAACGAACGGGAUGUGCAGAUUUGGACCCAAAUACAGUUAAAGGUAUUUGAAAUGAAUUCGGGUGGGAAAGACGUUAUUAUUACUAUUUGGAAUAAACCGGAGUUAUUGGUAAUUGUUGCCAUACAUAAA